Molecule: long non-coding RNA, 238 nt
Organism: Mandrillus leucophaeus (drill)
Lineage: Eukaryota; Metazoa; Chordata; Mammalia; Primates; Cercopithecidae
Exons: 3
Source: RefSeq, a predicted model, not a curated record
CAAGAGCCAGCCAGCCCACAGCCAGUCAAGCGUACUUCAAUUCGGACAGAGCCACUGUCUCAAGACUCUGCCCUUCUUCAAGAGAAGAGCCCAGAAGAAGAGAGAAUGACUGCUAGGCCCUUGAUGGCUGGAUUCAGGCCAUGUAAGGCGCGCCUGCUUCCCCUUCACCUUCCAUCAUGAUUGUAAGUUUCCUGAGGCCUCCCCAGGUGUGCUUCCUGUGCAGCCUGUGAAAUGGUGA